GUGAAUCAUCGAAUUUUUGAACGCAAAUGGCACUCUCUGGGAUUCCGGAGAGUAUGCCUGUUUGAGGGUUAGUUAAAUAAAAAUCGGUGUUUAGUUGCCGCUUUGCGUAGUGACGCAUCGGGUUUGUGUCGUCUUGCCUUCGGUUAAGGUACCUAAAAUUUUGCAUGUUUUUUUCGAACGUUUUUAAAUGAUGUUACGUAGGUUUGCGAUAGAGAAUAAUAGGUGGUGUCAUGCUC
Molecule: unclassified non-coding RNA, 236 nt
Filed under: Glomus sp.
Lineage: Eukaryota; Fungi; Glomeromycota; Glomeromycetes; Glomerales; Glomeraceae
Description: partial contains 5.8S ribosomal RNA and internal transcribed spacer 2
Rfam family: 5.8S ribosomal RNA (bases 1-71)
Source: RNAcentral